UUUCAACGGCCGCGGUACUCUGACCGUGCAAAGGUAGCAUAAUCAUUUGCCUUAUAAUUGAAGGCUAGUAUGAAUGGUUUGACGAAAGCAAAUCUGUCUCCUCUUUACUACUUAGAACUUGACCUUUAGGUGAAGAGGCCUAAAUAUCAUUGAAGGACAAGAAGACCCUGUCGAGCUUAAAAGAACAUGUAGAAGUUAAUAUACUUAAAAAUAAAUAAUCUACUAAGCUUUUUAGUUGGGGCGACUAAGGAACAAAAAAAGCUUCUUAAUUAAAAAAAACCAACAAGUUUAGAUCCAACCAGCUUGAUCAAAGAAAUUAGUUACCGCAGGGAUAACAGCAUAAUCUCUCUUGAGAGACCUAAUCGAAAGGGGGGGUUGUGACCUCGAUGUUGGACUAGAAUAUCCUAAAGAUGCAGAAGUCUUUAAGGGUUGGUCUGUUCGACCAUAAAAAUUCUACGUGAUCU
This 464-nucleotide ribosomal RNA is filed under the name Cerithidea ornata. Its description in RNAcentral is "partial 16S ribosomal RNA". It matches the Rfam family "Bacterial large subunit ribosomal RNA", at positions 1922 to 2606 of the family's 2925-position model. Lineage: Eukaryota; Metazoa; Mollusca; Gastropoda; Potamididae. The record is from RNAcentral.